UGAAAAUGAGGACUUCCUGAAGUCAGUGACUACUCUGGCCAUGAAAGCCAAGUGCAAGCUGACUAUCUGCCCUGAGGAGGAGAACAUGGAUGACCAGUGGAUGCAGGAUGAAAUGGAGAUCGGCUACAUCCAAGCCCCACACAAAACGCUGCCCGUGGUCUUCGACUCUCCAAGGAACAGAGGCCUGAAGGAGUUUCCCAUCAAACGCGUGAUGGUACCUGCAUGGGGUGGGGAGGGGGCACAGCUGCCGAAACCCUCUUGUCUUGAGACUCCCUCCUUUUAGCCUGCCUUCCCCACCCGUGCCUGUAGCUGAGUAGCCCAGUGCAAGCAAGUGGAAUUCCUACCGAAGUGGGAGCAUGUAGGUGGGGCUUGU
Molecule: small RNA, 373 nt
Filed under: Pan troglodytes (chimpanzee)
Lineage: Eukaryota; Metazoa; Chordata; Mammalia; Primates; Hominidae
Description: processed transcript
Source: RNAcentral